CAGUCGCCGCGGUAAUACGUAGGUGGCAAGCGUUGUCCGGAAUUAUUGGGCGUAAAGGGCUCGCAGGCGGUUUCUUAAGUCUGAUGUGAAAGCCCCCGGCUCAACCGGGGAGGGUCAUUGGAAACUGGGAAACUCGAGUGCAGAAGAGGAGAGUGGAAUUCCACGUGUAGCGGUGAAAUGCGUAGAGAUGUGGAGGGACACCAGUGGCGAAGGCGACUCUCUGGUCUGUAACUGACGCUGAGGAGCGAAAGCGUGGGGAGCGAACGGGAUUAGAUACCCCUGUAGUCCCUGUCUCUUAUAC
RNAcentral lists this ribosomal RNA (301 nucleotides) under uncultured bacterium. Its description in RNAcentral is "partial 16S ribosomal RNA". It matches the Rfam family "Bacterial small subunit ribosomal RNA", at positions 509 to 807 of the family's 1533-position model. The record is from RNAcentral.